This 75-nucleotide transfer RNA is filed under the name Candidatus Aramenus sulfurataquae. Its description in RNAcentral is "Sulfolobales archaeon AZ1 tRNA". It matches the Rfam family "tRNA". Rfam says of the family: Transfer RNA (tRNA) molecules are approximately 80 nucleotides in length. The record is from Rfam by way of RNAcentral. Lineage: Archaea; Thermoproteati; Thermoproteota; Thermoprotei; Sulfolobales; Sulfolobaceae.
GGACCCGUAGCUCAGCUAGGACAGAGCGGAGGCCUUCGGAGCCUUAGGUCGCGGGUUCGAGUCCCGCCGGGUCCG